UUAUGGACUCCACUACACUGCUGUCUGUGGUGGGCGGGGCUCUCCUCCUGUCAAUCAUCCUUGUAACCAGUCUUUGUACAUACUGCUGGGGACAUAGACAACCAACAUCCAUCCAUCAGAGGUCCAGUGACUCAGAAUACCCCCCAACGUAAGAAAUCAAAUCUUGUAUAGCCACUGUCUUACAGGAUCUUAUAAAUAUAUUCAUACAUUCAAUAUAUAUAUAUAUAUAUAUAUAUGCAUACAUUUUGUCACCUUAAUUAUAAGGUUCUAUUUGCCAUUUUUGUCCAAAUUGAGUCCUUCACAUAUUCUUAUUCUGUGACAACUUUACAUUGUGUAAAGUUUUUUUUUUUUUUUUUAAGUUGUAUACAUUUUGGUUCUGAUGUCCCCAUAUCCCACAUCAUUAUAUGGAAUGCAAAAACUUUGAAGCUCAAUAUCUCGAAACUGCUCAGAAUACAGACAGAACCUUUUAAUUCCAAGAUGACGAUAUUGUUUUAUAUGCGUGUUGGCUCAACAUUGUCUCUCUUCAUACAGAUCAGGUUUUGUGGUUCGGCAUCCCGUGUCGACAUAUGCGCCCCAUAUGGACCAUACCAGAAUUGUACCUUACCAACAUUCCAAGUGAGUUCACACACAGACCCAGAUAUACACACAGACUGUGUUGUUCUUCAGUGUGCUAAUAAACACUCUUUCCUCAGUUCUCUUGGUUCACCAUCUAUCACUGUCACAAAGGUGCACUCCUGUCCUCCCUCAGAAACUGGAAGUCAAGCCAGUUAUGUGAAUCAAAACGGUGAGGAGGGAAUCAACAUUCAUGACAAUCAUCAUGGUCAGAAAUCAAAUGGCUCAUUUUUGUAUCAUAAUUCUGAGUAG
Cyprinus carpio (common carp) is the source of this 864-nucleotide long non-coding RNA. Lineage: Eukaryota; Metazoa; Chordata; Actinopteri; Cypriniformes; Cyprinidae. The record is from Ensembl.